Molecule: ribosomal RNA, 564 nt
Filed under: uncultured Glomeromycotina
Lineage: Eukaryota; Fungi; Glomeromycota
Description: SSU rRNA
Rfam family: Eukaryotic small subunit ribosomal RNA
Source: RNAcentral
UUGGAGGGCAAGUCUGGUGCCAGCAGCCGCGGUAAUUCCAGCUCCAAUAGCGUAUAUUAAAGUUGUUGCAGUUAGAAAGCUCGUAGUUGAAUUUCGGGAUCAGUUGGUCGGUCGUGCCUCGGUACGUACUGGUCAAAUUGAUUCCUACCUUCUGACGAACCACGAUGUCAUUAAUUUGGUGUCGCGGGAAAUCAGGACUGUUACUUUGAAAAAAUUAGAGUGUUUAAAGCAGGCUCGCGCUUGAAUACAUUAGCAUGGAAUAAUGAAAUAGGACGUUUGAUUCUAUUUUGUUGGUUUCUAGGAUCGACGUAAUGAUUAAUAGGGAUAGUUGGGGGCAUUAGUAUUCAAUUGUCAGAGGUGAAAUUCUUGGAUUUAUUGAAGGCUAACUACUGCGAAAGCAUUUGCCGAGGAUGUUUUCAUUAAUCAAGAACGAAAGUUAGGGGAUCGAAGACGAUCAGAUACCGUCGUAGUCUUAACCAUAAACUAUGCCGACUAGGGAUCGGAUGAUGUUAAUUUUUUAAUGACUCAUUAGGCGCCUUACGGGAAACCAAAGUGUUUGGGUUC